Molecule: ribosomal RNA, 253 nt
Filed under: uncultured bacterium
Lineage: Bacteria
Description: partial 16S ribosomal RNA
Rfam family: Bacterial small subunit ribosomal RNA
Source: RNAcentral
GACGUAGGGCGCGAGCGUUGUCCGGAUUUAUUGGGCGUAAAGAGCUCGUAGGCGGCUCGUUGCGUCGGCUGUGAAAACCCGCAGCUCAACUGUGGGCUUGCAGCUGAUACGGGCGGGCUGGAGUUCGGUAGGGGAGACUGGAAUUCCAGGUGUAGCGGUGAAAUGCGUAGAUAUCUGGAGGAAUACCGGUGGCGAAGGCGGCAUCCUGGACCGGCAUUGACGCUGAGGAGCGAAAGCCAGGGGAGCAAACGGG